Molecule: ribosomal RNA, 497 nt
Filed under: uncultured bacterium
Lineage: Bacteria
Description: partial 16S ribosomal RNA
Rfam family: Bacterial small subunit ribosomal RNA
Source: RNAcentral
GAUGAACGCUGGCGGCGUGCCUAAUACAUGCAAGUCGAGCGAACAGACGAGGAGCUUGCUCCUCUGACGUUAGCGGCGGACGGGUGAGUAACACGUGGAUAACCUACCUAUAAGACUGGGAUAACUUCGGGAAACCGGAGCUAAUACCGGAUAAUAUAUUGAACCGCAUGGUUCAAUAGUGAAAGACGGUUUUGCUGUCACUUAUAGAUGGAUCCGCGCCGCAGUAGCUAGUUGGUAAGGUAACGGCUUACCAAGGCGACGAUGCGUAGCCGACCUGAGAGGGUGAUCGGCCACACUGGAACUGAGACACGGUCCAGACUCCUACGGGAGGCAGCAGUAGGGAAUCUUCCGCAAUGGGCGAAAGCCUGACGGAGCAACGCCGCGUGAGUGAUGAAGGUCUUCGGAUCGUAAAACUCUGUUAUUAGGGAAGAACAAAUGUGUAAGUAACUAUGCACGUCUUGACGGUACCUAAUGAGAAAGCCACGGCUAACUACGUG